This 449-nucleotide ribosomal RNA is filed under the name uncultured prokaryote. Its description in RNAcentral is "bacterial SSU rRNA". It matches the Rfam family "Bacterial small subunit ribosomal RNA", at positions 355 to 796 of the family's 1533-position model. The record is from RNAcentral.
UGGGGAAUAUUGGACAAUGGGCGAAAGCCUGAUCCAGCAACGCCGCGUGGAGGAUGACGGCCUUCGGGUUGUAAACUCCUGUCAGUUGGGACGAAAGAGUUUCGGUUAAUACCCGGGACUCCUGACGGUACCAGCAGAGGAAGCCCCGGCUAACUCCGUGCCAGCAGCCGCGGUAAUACGGAGGGGGCGAGCGUUAUUCGGAAUUAUUGGGCGUAAAGGGCGCGUAGGCGGCAUGGUAAGUCAGGGGUGAAAUCCCUCGGCCCAACCGAGGAACUGCCUCUGAAACUGCCACGCUUGAGGCCGGGAGAGGGUAGUGGAAUUCCCAGUGUAGCGGUGAAAUGCGUAGAUAUUGGGAGGAACACCAGUGGCGAAGGCGACUACCUGGACCGGUUCUGACGCUGAGGCGCGAAAGCGUGGGGAGCAAACAGGAUUAGAUACCCCCGUAGUCC